GCCAUGAGAUACUUCUGAGGUUGCCAUACAUACUAAUUAGUACUAUUUGUAUCUCAACAUUUACAUAUACAUACAUCUCUCUACAGGUUAUAUAGAUAAUUACCCCAUCUCCUUAAACUGAAUGAUAUAGAAAACAGCGUUGUCAAUAACAAUUCAUGGUCUCAAUCACACGAAAAGAUCGUGAGGUUCUGAAACAGAACAGGUGUGUGGACUCUGAAAAGAUUUUGUCAACUUUUUGUGUUGAGAUGACUGCCGUGUCAGCACGUCCGUACGAAUUACAUGCUUGCGAUCGUGAGAGAUGAAGUCUCCACGUGUCGAUUAGGAGUCGACCUCGGGAGAACAAGGAGCUCUCCACAACGCACUAUCUGGUUGGCUGAUCACAAUACGUGUCAGAAGAUCUACAAACAAACAGACCACAGAAACAUACAAAAACAGAGUUUUUUUUUCAUUUAUUUUAUUUCUCUUUUUUUCUCCGUUAUAAAAGGAAGAAGCUACCUUAUGAAAAAUACGAAGAGUCCACCACGAUCAAGUUGUGAGACUUGAGAGUGAUUGAGUCUCUAAGCCUAGCCUCUCUCGUGUUGACACGUGUUUAGACCACCGCUGGUUAAAAUACAAAAACCCAAUCGCCCAUCGGAAACAUGAGUGGCGGCUAUACUUCCUCUCUAUUUCUCUUCUUCUAAGGAUUUCUUUUUCUUUUUCAAAAAGUCUCAAAAACUUUCAAAAGAGUUUUCAUCUCUGUAGAAUAUAAUCUACAUAAGAAGACAUCACUUACAAGAAUGGGUCUUUCGCAGUUUCCGACAGCGUCAGAAGGAGUGCUACCACUUCUUGUAAUGAACACGGUUGUUUCAGUCACUCUCUUGAAGAAC
Molecule: long non-coding RNA, 866 nt
Filed under: Capsella grandiflora
Lineage: Eukaryota; Viridiplantae; Streptophyta; Magnoliopsida; Brassicales; Brassicaceae
Description: long non-coding RNA (CGRA_LNC000872)
Source: RNAcentral